This 397-nucleotide ribosomal RNA is filed under the name uncultured bacterium. RNAcentral's name for it is "partial 16S ribosomal RNA". It matches the Rfam family "Bacterial small subunit ribosomal RNA", at positions 523 to 918 of the family's 1533-position model. The record is from RNAcentral.
AUACGUAGGGGGCGAGCGUUGUCCGGAAUGAUUGGGCGUAAAGGGCGCGUAGGCGGCCCGGUAAGUCUGGAGUGAAAGUCCUGUUUUUAAGAUGGGAAUUGCUUUGGAUACUGUCGGGCUUGAGUGCAGGAGAGGUAAGUGGAAUUCCCAGUGUAGCGGUGAAAUGCGUAGAGAUUGGGAGGAACACCAGUGGCGAAGGCGACUUACUGGACUGUAACUGACGCUGAGGCGCGAAAGCGGGGGGAGCAAACAGGAUUAGAUACCCUGGUAGUCCCCGCCGUAAACGAUGAAUACUAGGUGUAGGGGGUAUCGACUCCCUCUGUGCCGCAGUUAACACAAUAAGUAUUCCGCCUGGGGAGUACGGCCGCAAGGUUGAAACUCAAAUGAAUUGACGGGG